GCCAGACUCCUACGGGAGGCAGCAGUGAGGAAUAUUGGUCAAUGGCCGAGAGGCUGAACCAGCCAAGUCGCGUGAGGGAUGACGGCCCUACGGGUUGUAAACCUCUUUUGCCGGGGAGCAAAGAGCGGGACGCGUCCCGCCUCGAGAGUACCCGGAGAAAAAGCAUCGGCUAACUCCGUGCCAGCAGCCGCGGUAAUACGGAGGAUGCGAGCGUUAUCCGGAUUUAUUGGGUUUAAAGGGUGCGUAGGCGGGGCCUUAAGUCAGCGGUAAAAUUGCGGUGCUCAACGCCGUAGAGCCGUUGAAACUGGGGUUCUUGAGUGAGCGAGAAGUAUGCGGAAUGCGUGGUGUAGCGGUGAAAUGCAUAGAUAUCACGCAGAACCCCGAUUGCGAAGGCAGCAUACCGGCGCUCAACUGACGCUGAGGCACGAAAGUGCGGGUAUCGAACAGGAUUAGAUACCCUCGUAUC
Molecule: ribosomal RNA, 466 nt
Filed under: uncultured bacterium
Lineage: Bacteria
Description: bacterial SSU rRNA
Rfam family: Bacterial small subunit ribosomal RNA
Source: RNAcentral